RNAcentral lists this non-coding RNA (48 nucleotides) under Schistosoma mansoni. The record is from RNAcentral. Lineage: Eukaryota; Metazoa; Platyhelminthes; Trematoda; Strigeidida; Schistosomatidae.
AUCCAGCUGACGAGUCCCGAAUAGGUCGAAACGCGUGUCAAACUGGAU